Molecule: long non-coding RNA, 507 nt
Filed under: Oryza brachyantha (malo sina)
Lineage: Eukaryota; Viridiplantae; Streptophyta; Magnoliopsida; Poales; Poaceae
Description: long non-coding RNA (OBRA_LNC001529)
Source: RNAcentral
CCCUGUCUCCACUCCCCUUCGCGGCUGCUGCGUGUGCACAACAAUGUCAAGCGAGUACUACCGCUACUACUACUACUACUACUACCUACAAGGAUCAAGCGAGCGUUCGUCUGCGUCGUGUGCCGCGUACACGCACAACACCACCCUGGGUUAGCCAAAAGCCAAAAAAAACAGAGAGACCGGGCAAGAGCAUCCAAGAGAAUUUUUGGGCGGGUAGAAACAAAAAUCAAACCCAGUUGCGCGCAAAAAAACAAAGACAAGCAGAAGAGAGAGAGAGAGAGAGAGAAUUUGGGAGAUGUGGGAUGGAAGCAACAAGCACAUGAGCAGGUUGUGAUAAGCGUAUUAGGAACGGACAAAACAAGGUCAUAGCGCGGCCUAAUCAAGAUUGAGGAGGGGUCCCGUCUCGUUGGGGUUGCUAGUUUUACCUACAUGACCAGCGUUGCCAGCAGGAUUGCCACGCUCGCGCGUGGGCCUCCCACGGCCACCGCCGCCGCCGCACCGGCGAGG